This 323-nucleotide ribosomal RNA is filed under the name uncultured Kraken. RNAcentral describes it as "SSU rRNA". The stretch from base 106 to 323 matches the Rfam family "Eukaryotic small subunit ribosomal RNA", at positions 737 to 955 of the family's 1831-position model. The record is from RNAcentral. Lineage: Eukaryota; Cercozoa.
GAUUUCUGGUUUGAUAUGUCUGGCCCGCCGCGGUUACGCGUGUGUGCGCCGGUACGUGUCGGCCAUCCUUCUAGAAAACGUGUCUACCCUUCACUGGGCCGGAUACGCGAUCUAGAUCUUUUACUUUGAAAAAAUUAGAGUGUUUAAAGCAGGCUUUUUGCUAUGAAUACAUUAGCAUGGAAUAAUAAUUUAGGACUUUGGUCCUAUUUUGUUGGUUUCUAGGACUGAAGUAAUGAUUGAUAGGGAUAGUUGGGGGUGCUCGAAUUCAGCGGCCAGAGGUGAAAUUCUUGGAUUCGCUGAAGACGAACUCAUGCGAAAGCAUU